GCCGGCAUAGCUCAGCUGGUAGAGCAGCUCAUUCGUAAUGAGCGGGUCGGGGGUUCAAAUCCCUCUGCCGGCU
RNAcentral lists this transfer RNA (73 nucleotides) under Candidatus Omnitrophota bacterium. Its description in RNAcentral is "tRNA-Thr". It matches the Rfam family "tRNA". From Rfam's summary of the family: Transfer RNA (tRNA) molecules are approximately 80 nucleotides in length. Their secondary structure includes four short double-helical elements and three loops (D, anti-codon, and T loops). The record is from RNAcentral. Lineage: Bacteria; Pseudomonadati; Candidatus Omnitrophota.